UUUCCGGUUGAUCCUGCCGGAGGCCAUUGCUAUCGGUGUCCGACUUAGCCAUGCUAGUUGCACGUUUACCGUAGCGAACAGCUCAGUGACACGUGGCCGAUCUACCCUAUGGACCGGGAUACCCACGGGAAACUGUGGACAAUCCCGGAUAGCGCUCCCGAGCUUGAAUGCUGGGAGCGUCAAACGCUCCGGUGCCAUAGGAUGAGGCUGCGGCCGAUUAGGUAGACGGUGAGGUAACGGCUCACCGUGCCGAUAAUCGGUAUGGGUCAUGAGAGUGAGAGCCCAGAGACGGAAUCUGAGACAACAUUCCGGGCCCUACGGGGCGCAGCAGGCGCGAAACCUUUACAAUGCACGUCAGUGCGAUAGGGGGACACCGAGUGCGAGGGCAUAGAGCCCUCGCUUUUGUGUACCGUAAGGUGGUACACGAAUAAGGGCUGGGCAAGACCGGUGCCAGCCGCCGCGGUAACACCGGCAGCCCGAGUGAUGGCCGAUCUUAUUGGGCCUAAAGCGUCCGUAGCUGGCCGCGGAGGUCCGUCGGGAAAUCUACUGGCCCAACCAGUAGGCGUCCGGCGGAAACCCCGUGGCUUGGGACCGGGAGACCUGAGGGGUACGUCCGGGGUAGGAGUGAAAUCCCGUAAUCCUGGACGGACCACCGGUGGCGAAAGCGCCUCAGGAGAACGGAUCCGACAGUGAGGGACGAAAGCUAGGGUCUCGAACCGGAUUAGAUACCCGGGUAGUCCUAGCCGUAAACGAUGCUCGUUAGGUGUGGCGCAGGCUACGAGCCUGCGCUGUGCCGUAGGGAAGCCGUGAAACGAGCCGCCUGGGAAGUACGUCUGCAAGGAUGAAACUUAAAGGAAUUGGCGGGGGAGCACUACAACCGGAGGAGCCUGCGGUUUAAUUGGAUUCAACGCCGGAA
This 916-nucleotide ribosomal RNA is filed under the name uncultured archaeon. RNAcentral describes it as "bacterial SSU rRNA". It matches the Rfam family "Archaeal small subunit ribosomal RNA", at positions 1 to 923 of the family's 1478-position model. The record is from RNAcentral.